Molecule: unclassified non-coding RNA, 492 nt
Filed under: Hevea brasiliensis (rubber tree)
Lineage: Eukaryota; Viridiplantae; Streptophyta; Magnoliopsida; Malpighiales; Euphorbiaceae
Source: RNAcentral
AGAAUUCGUAAAUUAUAGUACAGAUGAGCAAAUGGACAAAUUGCCUCUAUGAGGAACAGAAAGUUGAACAAAAUGAUGAAGAUGGUGAGCAACACUACGGCAUCUAAAGCAGGCCGAGGUCGGUAAUGGUGACAAGUGGAUUAUUUUCUGUAUCUGUGUGACAUCACUAUGGCACCUGUAAUAUAAUGUACACUUGCCAAAUAUUUGGUUGAGUGGGACAAAUACAGAGGAAGAGGAGGAAGAUGAAACAGAGAAUGGCUGCAAACUUUAUGGAUAAGGGAAGAGAACUUUUGAUUUUUUUUUUUUCCCUCCUUAUGCUGGGAACUUGGGAUUGAGAAUUAACAUUGGCGACCCCUGCGGCAGGAAAGUGCACCAGCACUUGAAGUAAUGGCGCCAACCAUGGAAGAGGACUUGGCCCCUAAGCUUGAAGCCCGGGCAUAGCUGGCUGAAGCUCCAGCCCCUGAUGAGGUGAAGUAGGCUCCAUUUAGCAUG